Carya illinoinensis is the source of this 214-nucleotide small nucleolar RNA. RefSeq annotates it as small nucleolar RNA U3. The record is from RefSeq and is a predicted model, not a curated record. Lineage: Eukaryota; Viridiplantae; Streptophyta; Magnoliopsida; Fagales; Juglandaceae. The transcript has a single exon.
ACAACCUUACUUGAACAGGAUCUGUUCUAUUGGUUGUAGUUCUGUUUCCUUGAGUUCUAAGGAGACAGGAAUCUAAGUCUGGUUGAUGAACCAUGACCGUGCGAUCAGAGCGUGAAUAAUAGAUUCACGGUCCUUGGAUCGUUGGAUCAGUAUAGGAUCGUUCUCAGCCACUCUUCAGAAUGGCUGCGAUGGUCGCAUGGUUGCUUGACAGACU